Molecule: ribosomal RNA, 502 nt
Filed under: uncultured bacterium
Lineage: Bacteria
Description: bacterial SSU rRNA
Rfam family: Bacterial small subunit ribosomal RNA
Source: RNAcentral
AGUGAACGCUGGCGGCAGGCCUAAUACAUGCAAGUCGAACGGCAGCACAGCAGAGCUUGCUCUGUGGGUGGCGAGUGGCGGACGGGUGAGGAAUACGUGGGAAUCUGCCCAGUCGUGGGGGAUAACGUAGGGAAACUUACGCUAAUACCGCAUGCGCCCUUCGGGGGAAAGCCGGGGACCUUCGGGCCUGGCGCGAUUGGAUGAGCCCACGUCGGAUUAGCUAGUUGGCGGGUAAAGGCCCACCAAGGCGACGAUCCGUAGCUGGUCUGAGAGGAUGAUCAGCCACACUGGAACUGAGACACGGUCCAGACUCCUACGGGAGGCAGCAGUAGGGAAUAUUGGACAAUGGGCGCAAGCCUGAUCCAGCCAUGCCGCGUGAGUGAAGAAGGCCCUCGGGUUGUAAAGCUCUUUGUCCGGAAAGAAAAGCGCCGGGUUAAUACCCUGGUGUCCUGACGGUACCGGAAGAAUAAGCACCGGCUAACUUCGUGCCAGCAGCCGCGGU